RNAcentral lists this ribosomal RNA (617 nucleotides) under uncultured bacterium. Its description in RNAcentral is "bacterial SSU rRNA". It matches the Rfam family "Bacterial small subunit ribosomal RNA", at positions 338 to 956 of the family's 1533-position model. The record is from RNAcentral.
CCUACGGGAGGCAGCAGUGGGGAAUUUUGGACAAUGGACGCAAGUCUGAUCCAGCCAUGCCGCGUGUGGGAAGAAGGCCUUCGGGUUGUAAACCACUUUUGUCAGGGAAGAAACGGCUCGGGUUAAUACCUUGGGCUAAUGACGGUACCUGAAGAAUAAGCACCGGCUAACUACGUGCCAGCAGCCGCGGUAAUACGUAGGGUGCAAGCGUUAAUCGGAAUUACUGGGCGUAAAGCGUGCGCAGGCGGUUAUGCAAGACAGAUGUGAAAUCCCCGGGCUCAACCUGGGAACUGCAUUUGUGACUGCAUGGCUAGAGUACGGUAGAGGGGGAUGGAAUUCCGCGUGUAGCAGUGAAAUGCGUAGAUAUGCGGAGGAACACCGAUGGCGAAGGCAAUCCCCUGGACCUGUACUGACGCUCAUGCACGAAAGCGUGGGGAGCAAACAGGAUUAGAUACCCUGGUAGUCCACGCCCUAAACGAUGUCAACUGGUUGUUGGGAGGGUUUCUUCUCAGUAACGUAGCUAACGCGUGAAGUUGACCGCCUGGGGAGUACGGCCGCAAGGUUGAAACUCAAAGGAUUGACGGCGNGAGAGNGCGACGACGACGACGAGGAGGAGG